Molecule: ribosomal RNA, 1528 nt
Filed under: Klebsiella pneumoniae
Lineage: Bacteria; Pseudomonadati; Pseudomonadota; Gammaproteobacteria; Enterobacterales; Enterobacteriaceae
Description: bacterial SSU rRNA
Rfam family: Bacterial small subunit ribosomal RNA
Source: RNAcentral
AGAGUUUGAUCAUGGCUCAGAUUGAACGCUGGCGGCAGGCCUAACACAUGCAAGUCGAGCGGUAGCACAGAGAGCUUGCUCUCGGGUGACGAGCGGCGGACGGGUGAGUAAUGUCUGGGAAACUGCCUGAUGGAGGGGGAUAACUACUGGAAACGGUAGCUAAUACCGCAUAACGUCGCAAGACCAAAGUGGGGGACCUUCGGGCCUCAUGCCAUCAGAUGUGCCCAGAUGGGAUUAGCUAGUAGGUGGGGUAACGGCUCACCUAGGCGACGAUCCCUAGCUGGUCUGAGAGGAUGACCAGCCACACUGGAACUGAGACACGGUCCAGACUCCUACGGGAGGCAGCAGUGGGGAAUAUUGCACAAUGGGCGCAAGCCUGAUGCAGCCAUGCCGCGUGUGUGAAGAAGGCCUUCGGGUUGUAAAGCACUUUCAGCGGGGAGGAAGGCGUUAAGGUUAAUAACCUUGGCGAUUGACGUUACCCGCAGAAGAAGCACCGGCUAACUCCGUGCCAGCAGCCGCGGUAAUACGGAGGGUGCAAGCGUUAAUCGGAAUUACUGGGCGUAAAGCGCACGCAGGCGGUCUGUCAAGUCGGAUGUGAAAUCCCCGGGCUCAACCUGGGAACUGCAUUCGAAACUGGCAGGCUAGAGUCUUGUAGAGGGGGGUAGAAUUCCAGGUGUAGCGGUGAAAUGCGUAGAGAUCUGGAGGAAUACCGGUGGCGAAGGCGGCCCCCUGGACAAAGACUGACGCUCAGGUGCGAAAGCGUGGGGAGCAAACAGGAUUAGAUACCCUGGUAGUCCACGCCGUAAACGAUGUCGAUUUGGAGGUUGUGCCCUUGAGGCGUGGCUUCCGGAGCUAACGCGUUAAAUCGACCGCCUGGGGAGUACGGCCGCAAGGUUAAAACUCAAAUGAAUUGACGGGGGCCCGCACAAGCGGUGGAGCAUGUGGUUUAAUUCGAUGCAACGCGAAGAACCUUACCUGGUCUUGACAUCCACAGAACUUACCAGAGAUGCAUUGGUGCCUUCGGGAACUGUGAGACAGGUGCUGCAUGGCUGUCGUCAGCUCGUGUUGUGAAAUGUUGGGUUAAGUCCCGCAACGAGCGCAACCCUUAUCCUUUGUUGCCAGCGGUUCGGCCGGGAACUCAAAGGAGACUGCCAGUGAUAAACUGGAGGAAGGUGGGGAUGACGUCAAGUCAUCAUGGCCCUUACGACCAGGGCUACACACGUGCUACAAUGGCAUAUACAAAGAGAAGCGACCUCGCGAGAGCAAGCGGACCUCAUAAAGUAUGUCGUAGUCCGGAUUGGAGUCUGCAACUCGACUCCAUGAAGUCGGAAUCGCUAGUAAUCGUAGAUCAGAAUGCUACGGUGAAUACGUUCCCGGGCCUUGUACACACCGCCCGUCACACCAUGGGAGUGGGUUGCAAAAGAAGUAGGUAGCUUAACCUUCGGGAGGGCGCUUACCACUUUGUGAUUCAUGACUGGGGUGAAGUCGUAACAAGGUAACCGUAGGGGAACCUGCGGUUGGAUCACCU